CUAAUCAUAUUUCAUAUGUUGCAUAUUAUAAUAGGAUAUAUAGCAUGCAAUUACAUACACUGUAUAAUUACAUGUAUUAUAUGAUCGUAUAUUCUUUAUGCAGAAUGUGCAUUAUGUAUAUUGCGUCUUGCAUUUUACACGGUCGAUUAUCACAUGUCACACUCAUAAUCCACCUAUAAUUCAAUGCUUCUGUUAUGCGACACUUUUCUGCCCUGUCCCCGCCCCCAUGUCUGUGGGUUCUGCGGCCACAGAUGGAGCCCACCAAGCACGGAUGGAAAAUUGUCAAUUCCAGCCACCCUAAGUCACCUAGAGGUGGUUUCAAGUGCCCCGGAGGACAGGGGUCCGUGCUGAGCAUCCGGGGGCUUCGGCAGCCUCAACAGCGUGCUGAGGCACAGCGCUGCGGCUGAACCGGAGCCUGUCCAUCAAGGGCUGCAGACCCCGGAGUGGACCGUGCAGAGCGGGGCCCUGGGUGUCUGUCUCCCGGCCAGCGUCCAGGCGCCUCUCCAGGCCCUUCUCCGACCCGCCCUUUUUAGCCGCGGUUCUGCUCACCAAUAUUUUUUCCCUCAGGCAGACUUUCUUUGUCUACCCUGCAGGCAACACGGUGGCCCGAAUCGUGUCCCCGAUCGUGUCUGUGGUGGUGGUCGCCUUGGUGGGGGCCGGGGUCAGCUACUUCAAGUCCAACCAGAGGAGGAAUUGCUUUCGGGCCAGUGAUCCAGAGACGGUGUGAAGCUGCCCAGGUCUUCCCGAGGUCCCCACAAGGACCCCACGACGCCGGGGACUGUCCCGCGGAAAAGCUCUUUUUAUAUUUCAGUGCAUUCCCACCUGCGGAAGGAGGCCAGCUGCCUCCAGAAGGAUUCUCUGCCUGUGGCCUCCACCCCGCAGCUGCUGCUGCCUUCACGGGGCGGAGGGGGGGGCCUCCACGGAGGCUGAGCCCGGCUGCGGAGGCCAGGGCGCAGAGGGGUCUCAGGGACAGAGGCUGCGGCCCUAAUUACUGACACUGCCCCUUCGCCCCCUGCAAGGGGGCAGGAGGGAUUUCCAGGGCCCUGCGUCCCCUGUCUGUCCCCUCCAAAUGGGAUUUGAGGUUUUAAAAUCUAAAGUCACCGGGUGUUAAAAUCACCUCGUGGAAAUGGGUCUUGCAAGACUUUUUUCUAGAAAAUUCUUCUUUCCUUUUUUUAUACUGGGAAUGCAAUCCAGGGGUGCUUUACCACUGAGCUAUGUUGCCAGCCUUUUUUUU
Molecule: non-coding RNA, 1234 nt
Organism: Ictidomys tridecemlineatus (thirteen-lined ground squirrel)
Lineage: Eukaryota; Metazoa; Chordata; Mammalia; Rodentia; Sciuridae
Source: RefSeq, a predicted model, not a curated record